AAGUCGUAACAAGGUUUCCGUAGGUGAACCUGCGGAAGGAUCAUUGAAAUGGAGGACGGGCUCCGGCCCGUCGUAUUCCCCUCUCACUGGGACCCUUGUGGCCCCCAAAGAGGACACCAUUUGUGGAACAAACUCGUUGCUUUGGCAGCUUCGACGUCCCCCCUCCCGGGGGAGGCGCCGUUGUCAGUCUGUCAACAGUCUACACAUAACUCUUUGCAACAAACUUGAAGUCUGAUAACUAUAAAUGCAAACGCAUAAAA
This 260-nucleotide unclassified non-coding RNA is filed under the name plant metagenome. Its description in RNAcentral is "partial contains small subunit ribosomal RNA and internal transcribed spacer 1". The stretch from base 1 to 46 matches the Rfam family "Eukaryotic small subunit ribosomal RNA", at positions 1786 to 1831 of the family's 1831-position model. The record is from RNAcentral.